ACUUCUAAGUGUAAACUCUGCUUGUUAUUUUUAAGAGUUUGGGGGACAAGAGACACAUGUCUUAUCUAUGCUUCAGCACUAUAUUAUAAUGCUGGUAACGUUAGUUAGUGCGAUGGACGCAGUUGGGCUUUCCAUGAACAUGUAUCCACGUGUAGCUUUGUCAUAAUUGUCGUUAAGGAUAUUAGUUGUCUAUGGGUUGAAUCCUGUGGAUACUAUCAGAUAUGAGUAGCAUAUAUCUAAUUUCUUCUAAUUUUUUUUUCUCAACGUGAUCAUGUUUUGUCACAAAAUUAACCUCGUCUCUAGAAUCAUCUGAAUGUCAAUUGCCAGCUGUGAUAUUUUGGGUUAUCUAAUUCUCCUUUAUUAAUAUAUUAAAGUGCAUCUGAAGUUUAUGAAUUUUCAGCUUACAAUACAGACAAUUACCAGAACUGUCUAGUUGGUCAUAGUUAGACGUAUGUAAUCACUAUCGAAUGAUCUUUGUACUUUCUUCUCUUUCUUUUCCCCUCUCUUCUCCCCUCCUCUCUCAGUUACUCUCUUGAACCAGAUCAUCUCUACAAAAUUUUAGUACAGGGAAAUUAUGACAGAAGAGAACAGGCUCAUCACAGUCACACCAGAAGCUAAAGUUCUGAAAGUGACACAACUGAUAACAGAGUGUCAGUCCACAUUUGUCUCUGGGUGGGGAAGUGUUCUGGGCUGGAGCAUAGAAAAUCUGGCAUUGGUUAUGCUGCUUGCUGCAACACAGAUAAACUGGUAUUCUACCUAUUACUAGAUGUUAGAACAUUUUGUCAUCCAAUCAUUUUUUAUCUGGAUUUGAGAUAUUAUAAUAUUGUUCAAAAGAUGAAUGGUUUGUUUGGGACUGAGGUGUAGUUAGUAUUGUUUUUGUGUUGGUAAUACAUGGUAGCAACUUAAAUUUCAUUGCUGUUAGACAGUUAGUUCUUUC
Molecule: long non-coding RNA, 937 nt
Organism: Lycium ferocissimum
Lineage: Eukaryota; Viridiplantae; Streptophyta; Magnoliopsida; Solanales; Solanaceae
Exons: 3
Source: RefSeq, a predicted model, not a curated record